This 392-nucleotide long non-coding RNA is filed under the name Nicotiana benthamiana. Its description in RNAcentral is "long non-coding RNA (NBEN_LNC030563)". The record is from RNAcentral. Lineage: Eukaryota; Viridiplantae; Streptophyta; Magnoliopsida; Solanales; Solanaceae.
CGGACCGGACCGGCCCGGUUCAGUCUUAAAUUCACCAUAAUAUACAAUGAAUAUACCAUAAUAUACCAUAAAUAUACCAUAAAUAUACCAUAAUAUACCGUGAAUAUACCAAUUAAUGGUAACACCGAAAUUCUUUUUCAGCGUGCAUCGGUGCAUCAUUGAUUCCCAAAAUAUGGAAUCCUUGUAAUACCACAUUUAUGGUAUUUAAACAUGCGAGGGACUUGACAAACGCAGACAAUGUUUCUUGGAGACUGCCAAAGUUUAAUUUAGUUGUCUUCAACAGUUCAACUUCCUAAGCAAUCACUUUUUUCAUUCUCAUGUUCCUCCACUAAAAAAUCUUAAUUGAGGCAUUUUUUGGGAAUUGUUGCUCAACCAUGCCAAGCAAUAUCGAG